Molecule: ribosomal RNA, 424 nt
Filed under: uncultured Lachnospiraceae bacterium
Lineage: Bacteria; Bacillati; Bacillota; Clostridia; Lachnospirales; Lachnospiraceae
Description: bacterial SSU rRNA
Rfam family: Bacterial small subunit ribosomal RNA
Source: RNAcentral
UGGGGAAUAUUGCACAAUGGGGGGAAACCCUGAUGCAGCGACGCCGCGUGAGCGAAGAAGUAUUUCGGUAUGUAAAGCUCUAUCAGCAGGGAAGAAGAAAUGACGGUACCUGACUAAGAAGCCCCGGCUAACUACGUGCCAGCAGCCGCGGUAAUACGUAGGGGGCAAGCGUUAUCCGGAUUUACUGGGUGUAAAGGGAGCGCAGGCGGUGUGGCAAGUCUGAUGUGAAACCCGGGGCUCAACCCCGGGCCUGCAUUGGAAACUGUCAUACUGGAGUGUCGGAGAGGUAAGCGGAAUUCCUAGUGUAGCGGUGAAAUGCGUAGAUAUUAGGAGGAACACCAGUGGCGAAGGCGGCUUACUGGACGACAACUGACGCUGAGGCUCGAAAGCGUGGGGAGCAAACAGGAUUAGAUACCCUGGUAGU